AACGAACGCUGGCGGCAGGCUUAACACAUGCAAGUCGAACGCCCCGCAAGGGGAGUGGCAGACGGGUGAGUAACACGUGGGAACGUGCCCUAAGGUUUGGAAUAUUCCCGGGAAACUGGGAGCAAUACCAAAUGUGACCGCAAGGUGAAAGAUUUAUCGCCUUAGGAUCGGCCCGCGUCGGAUUAGCUAGUUGGUGGGGUAAAAGCCUACCAAGGCGACGAUCCGUAGCUGGUCUGAGAGGACGACCAGCCACACUGGGACUGAGACACGGCCCAGACUCCUACGGAGGCAGCAGUGGGGAAUCUUGGACAAUGGGCGCAAGCCUGAUCCAGCCAUGCCGCGUGAGUGAUGAAGGCCUUAGGGUUGUAAAACUCUUUCGCCGAGGACGAUAAUGACGGUACUCGGAGAAGAAGCUCCGGCUAACUUCGUGCCAGCAGCCGCGGUAAG
Molecule: ribosomal RNA, 447 nt
Filed under: uncultured bacterium
Lineage: Bacteria
Description: bacterial SSU rRNA
Rfam family: Bacterial small subunit ribosomal RNA
Source: RNAcentral